This 495-nucleotide long non-coding RNA is filed under the name Pan troglodytes (chimpanzee). RNAcentral's name for it is "long non-coding RNA NONPTRT003291". The record is from RNAcentral. Lineage: Eukaryota; Metazoa; Chordata; Mammalia; Primates; Hominidae.
AAAGUCUCGGCCUUUGCCCCACCCCGAAGAGAAAGGCCUCUCACCUUGCAGUUGACCAGAAGAGCUGGAAUCUCUGUCCUGCUGGUCUUCCUCCUGCUCUCCUGGCCAUGAAUCAGGGCCUGCAUCCGGGGAGGCUCCCCCUGAAGCCAAUUCGGGUUUCCCUCCACCAGGCGUCUUUGGAUCACACUGCGCGGCUGCUGGCUCCAUCACAAAACAAUGAAGGAGGAAGUGGGACGCAGAGAGAAACGCACAUGGGGAGAACGCCGCGUGAAGGCUGAGGUCGGGAUAAUGCAUCUGCAAGCCAAGGAACACCUAAGAGGACCAGCAAACCACCAGAAGCCGGGGGAGAGGCGUGGAACAGACCCUGCCUUACAGCUGUCAGAAGGAACCAACCCUGCCAACACCUUCCUGUUGUACUUUCAGCUUCCAGAACUGUAAGAUGACAAAUCUCUAUUGUUUUAGCCACUCAAGCUUGUGAUACAUACUUUGUUAUGG